UAUUAAACUUUAAUGGGUAACUAGUAGACAGUAACACUCUGGGAGGGCUCAAACCACAUAACCAAAUGUGCCAAGAUAAUCCUGAGCUCACUAUUGUCAGUCCUGAAGAUUUUCCUCAGAUAAUCUUUCAUCUCUUUGUUCCUGAGACUAUAUAUUAGAGGAUUACAGAGUGGUGUUAUCACAGAAAAGAACAAGUGGAUUUUUAUCUGAGAUCUACAACUUAUGAAGAAUACAAAUGAUGUAUAUUCUUUUCUACUCUUCAUGUAUGGACUAGAGGGGCUUGCACAGUAGUAAGAAAAAAAUGGCUGAGACCCACAGGAACAAAGAAACAGGACAGGAGUUAGAUGCAGAGAAGAGAUUUCAACAAAAGUUUGGAAAAGAUGCUAACGGUAGCAUAUGAGUCACAGACAGAACAUUGGCACCUUUGUUUAAGAAACUGAAUGUUAAUGUCACAUCUGCCUUUGGAGAUUACAAAUGAAAUGGCUACCUUUCUACUGGAACCCUGACCAGAAGUCUGCCAGUUAGUAAGCUGGCUUAAGAGAUCAAUCUAAAAUUUACAUAAGGCUUUUGAAAAAAAGAAAAAAACUCAAGAGAAUUGACAUCUGGUGUUAAAAAACAAAAAAUCAUACAAAUGACUGAUAUGUAUCAUUUUCCUUAUUAAAUAUGGAAGAAAGGGGAGGAGGAUGCAGAAAUGGUUGGCUAAAAGCUCCAGAGAAAAACUUAACAGAUUUUAUGAUUUUGCGGAAGUGUGUCAUCAUGGCCAGAAACUGAUCAAUCCACGAAUUAGCUGAAAUGGCAAGAACGAUUAGAGAUACAGUGAGGAGGGUCUCGAGUUCCUCUGAGCCUGAUGAUGAGCCAGGACAGGAAGGGGCCUGGGCCUCCAGGCAGCAGCAUCUCUCCAGGAUGCCCCCAGCCACAGCAUAAGGAAUUCCUACACUUUUGUUAUCUUAAACAAAACCUUCUAGAAUUCCUUCUAACUCUAGGAGACUGAAAUGUAUUUUUCUUUCUUUCAACUGUCUCCUGUCUGUCCCUGACUCCCUCACUCCGUUUUUUAAUGUUUGGCCAUUUAUCUCAUGAGCUUACUAAAAAUAAAUUGUAUACUCAGCAAUGGAUAACAUAGAAGAAAUGGAUAA
Molecule: long non-coding RNA, 1133 nt
Filed under: Homo sapiens (human)
Lineage: Eukaryota; Metazoa; Chordata; Mammalia; Primates; Hominidae
Description: HSALNT0379769
Source: RNAcentral